Molecule: ribosomal RNA, 253 nt
Filed under: uncultured bacterium
Lineage: Bacteria
Description: partial 16S ribosomal RNA
Rfam family: Bacterial small subunit ribosomal RNA
Source: RNAcentral
UACGGAGGGUGCAAGCGUUAAUCGGAAUGACUGGGCGUAAAGGGUGCGUAGGUGGAUUCUUAAGUUAUAGGUGAAAUCACUGGGCUUAACCUGGUGCGGAAUUAUAAUACUGGGAGUCUAGAGGACAGGAGAGGGUAGUGGAAUUUCCGGUGUAGCGGUGAAAUGCGUAGAGAUCGGAAGGAACACCAGUUGCGAAGGCGGCUACCUGGCCUGUUACUGACACUGAGGCACGAAAGCGUGGGGAGCAAACAGG